This 2274-nucleotide long non-coding RNA is filed under the name Mus musculus (house mouse). RNAcentral describes it as "long non-coding RNA chr6:56759637-56761911". Lineage: Eukaryota; Metazoa; Chordata; Mammalia; Rodentia; Muridae. The record is from RNAcentral.
AACCUUCUCUUAAUGUAGUUAAAAACUUAACUCUUAAAAUGGUUACUUAACUGGUCAGCCUAAAAUAACUUACCUUGGAAUAUAAAACAUCUUGGAAUGGUCAAAAGACUAUACUCCUACUUCCUUCAGGUUCUUGGAAAUGUUGGCUUUUCAAGGGCCAUAGGCCAUUUUGUUGCUGGGGGCAUCACCUAAUGCAGCAGCCUGUGUCAUGGAGAACAGGAGAUACAGCCAGUGAGCCCAGACACGUGAAGUCUGUAUUUUAGGCUCCAGUGAGCUAGACUAACUCGGAAGAGUAGUCUCCCUCCAGUGCUGGCAUGGUAGUCCUUUAGUCAACACCUGGCCUUUUGACUAUUGCCAGGAGAUGUGGCUAUUGGAAACCAUGCUUUCUCCAGUGAUUGCCAGUGCUCUUGUGUCUUAAGAACUGAGUGUUUGUAACUAGACCUGCAGGAGCGAAAGUCAACCAGCAUUUUUCAGGUUUCCAGCAGGCAGACAUUGACAGUAGCUGCACUGCUGUUGAGGUAGUUUUGAUCGUAGUGUAACGACAAAGGCACAGAUAAGGAAGAGAAUACAAGCUGUGAGUCUGGAGUAGAGUAGAAAUUCUGAAGCUGCGUGUAACAGGAUGUAGAGCAAUUGUAUAUGUAUAUCUGAUUUAUAACCAACAUGAAUUGUCCACCCCCAAGUCCUUCACUAGCUCUCAAGCCUGAAAACAGUUCUCUCCUUUUGCGGUAAGAAACAGUUGGCUUUCUUGGGCAGCAAAGUAGAGUGCAUGACAGGACUUCCUCAGUCUUUCUGCUUUUCACAUUUUGUACUAAGCAGUUAACUGAUUUUUAGAAUAGCUUUCUUUAGAAAUUCAAGGAAAGCAAAUUAGGAAAACACAAAUGAGAAGCUAUUACAUGGCUGAGAAACAGGGCACUUAAGUCUGAAUGGAGAGUAUUUUGACAUCAGUAUUUAACCUACUAAAGGCAUGAGUUUAGACAAGUUAGAAUUGUAAUCUGCUAUUGACAUUUCUAAGUGAAGCUAUAACAUUCUUUAGCUGGUAGGCAGGUAUUAUUGAAGCUGUAUAUUUUAUAGAGAAAAUUUUGAGGGAGUUAACAGCCAGUGGCUCUCUUCCUUCCAUGUUGAUAAAUUUAGAAGUCCUGCGGCCAGCAUCCUGAUUUAUACCCACAGGCAGUGUCUGCUGCAGCCUCCACAGAGGGCAGCCUGUUAGGACAGAAGCUGCUGCCUCCUGCCUGUGGUGCUAGCUGCACCAGCCUGUUCAUGUGUUGGGGCAUUGCUUAGGAUCCCUGAAACAUUUGCACACUGUGGUUCUUUAAAGAGAAAUGGCCCAGCAUUCAUGGCUUUCCACACCAUCUUCUGGUAGCCUUUAACUAUGACAGAAUGCUCCUUGAAUCACUUGAAGAUGACCAUCAUUCCUCAUAACCUAAUGUGCCGGUUUUCUCAUCCAAGUCUUCUGACUUCGUUAGCUUGGAAUUCUUUUUCCGUAAUUUCCAACAUUCCACAAAACUUUUUUUUAGAGAAAAAAGGAUCUUGUUUUUAUUUUUUCGUACAAAAAACUCCAUAAAAAUGACUUCCUACCUACAUUAUGAAGAAGAAACUGGCUGCCUCGUAUACUAUAACACUCCAAAAUGAAAAGAUUGUGCAUGUCUAAGGGGUUGGAUAUAUUUUGUAAAACUCUAAAUACAUUUGUAUUUCUGUGCUGUUCAGAAAUUUACCUUUUUACUUAUACUAAUUAAAGAUGCAGAAAACUAUAUAUUUAAAUCAUGUAUAUGGAACGCAAUUUAAGGGGUUUCCAAUCGUAUUUUUCAUCAGCUUCCCAUGCACAUAGUAUGCUGCUGAAGUUUCUUUUUUGUGCAAUAUAAACAUUUGAACAUUUCAAGUCAGGUACUGAGCCAGAAAAGGUCAUUGAAGUUUUCAGAGAACUGCCUAAAGCGUAUUUUAUUCUGUUGAGAUACUGUUAUUUUAUAGCUGGGAAACCAAGAUUGUGCAUUACAUGUUUCAGUCCACUUGAUCAUUCCUUUCUAAAUUUAGAAAGCAUGUGAUUAAUGACUUGGUGGAGGUACUUAAUGAUUGGAAAACAGUUUUUAAGGAAGUCAAGCUAUAGCUUCUCUUUCCUCCAGUGGCUUUGUAGUUUGUGCCGGUUCAUUUCUGUUGUCAUUUGUUUUUUAAAAACAUAUUCAAGUUAUAAAUCAUGUCUAGUCAUACUGAACUGUAGAGCUUCUAUUGUACAUUUAUUUUAAGGAAAACCUAAUAAUAAAAUUAUCCUGUUUCUCUUGC